Molecule: ribosomal RNA, 549 nt
Filed under: uncultured Glomeromycotina
Lineage: Eukaryota; Fungi; Glomeromycota
Description: SSU rRNA
Rfam family: Eukaryotic small subunit ribosomal RNA
Source: RNAcentral
UUGGAGGGCAAGUCUGGUGCCAGCAGCCGCGGUAAUUCCAGCUCCAAUAGCGUAUAUUAAAGUUGUUGCAGUUAAAAAGCUCGUAGUUGAAUUUCGGGGUCAGUAGGUCGGUCGUGCCACUGGUAUGAACUGGUUUUACUGAUUCCCCCCUCUUGAAGAACUGUAAUGCCAUUAAUUUGGUGUUGCAGGGAAUCAGGACUGUUACUUUGAAAAAAUUAGAGUGUUUAAAGCAGGCUUUAGCUUGAAUACAUUAGCAUGGAAUAAUGAAGUAGGACGUUUGAUCCUAUUUUGUUGGUUUCUAGGAUUGACGUAAUGAUUAAUAGGGAUAGUUGGGGGCAUUAGUAUUCAAUUGUCAGAGGUGAAAUUCUUGGAUUUAUUGAAGACUAACUACUGCGAAAGCAUUUGCCAAGGAUGUUUUCAUUAAUCAAGAACGAAAGUUAGGGGAUCGAAGACGAUCAGAUACCGUCGUAGUCUUAACCAUAAACUAUGCCGACUAGGGAUCGGAUGAUGUUAAUUUUUUAAUGACUCAUUCGGCGCCUUACGGGAAAC